UGCCCUGGCACCGCCUCUUCGGCCCCUUCGACCUCUUCGAUGGACACGACUUCGCCAAGGUGGUCGACACUCUGUCCGCUCUGUCCUGGACGCCGAUCGCACAGAGGAGAGGCCUGGAGCCGUUCCCGUCCGAGGGCACCGUUGGGGACAGCGACGUUUACAGCGGCGUUGGAGAGCGGA
Malurus melanocephalus (red-backed fairy wren) is the source of this 180-nucleotide long non-coding RNA. RefSeq lists it as uncharacterized. The transcript has 3 exons. NCBI's taxonomy places the organism in Eukaryota, Metazoa, Chordata, Aves, Passeriformes, Maluridae. The record is from RefSeq and is a predicted model, not a curated record.